This 497-nucleotide ribosomal RNA is filed under the name uncultured bacterium. Its description in RNAcentral is "partial 16S ribosomal RNA". It matches the Rfam family "Bacterial small subunit ribosomal RNA", at positions 28 to 507 of the family's 1533-position model. The record is from RNAcentral.
GAUGAACGCUGGCGGCGUGCCUAAUACAUGCCAGUCGAGCGAACGGACGAGAAGCUUGCUUCUCUGAUGUUAGCGGCGGACGGGUGAGUAACACGUGGAUAACCUACCUAUAAGACUGGGAUAACUUCGGGAAACCGGAGCUAAUACCGGAUAAUAUUUUGAACCGCAUGGUUCAAAAGUGAAAGACGGUCUUGCUGUCACUUAUAGAUGGAUCCGCGCUGCAUUAGCUAGUUGGUAAGGUAACGGCUUACCAAGGCAACGAUGCAUAGCCGACCUGAGAGGGUGGUCGGCCACACUGGAACUGAGACACGGUCCAGACUCCUACGGGAGGCAGCAGUAGGGAAUCUUCCGCAAUGGGCGAAAGCCUGACGGAGCAACGCCGCGUGAGUGAUGAAGGUCUUCGGAUCGUAAAACUCUGUUAUUAGGGAAGAACAUAUGUGUAAGUAACUGUGCACAUCUUGACGGUACCUAAUCAGAAAGCCACGGCUAACUACGUG